Molecule: ribosomal RNA, 445 nt
Filed under: uncultured bacterium
Lineage: Bacteria
Description: partial 16S ribosomal RNA
Rfam family: Bacterial small subunit ribosomal RNA
Source: RNAcentral
GUAGGGAAUAUUGGGCAAUGGAUGCAAGUCUGACCCAGCCAUCCCGCGUGCCGGAAGAAGGCCCUCAGGGUUGUAAACGGCUUUUGACGGUGAAGAAUCGACAGGAUGCGUCCUGUUUCGACGGUAGCCGUUGAAUAAGCACCGGCUAACUCCGUGCCAGCAGCCGCGGUAAUACGGAGGGUGCGAGCGUUGUCCGGAUUUAUUGGGUUUAAAGGGUGCGUAGGCUGGAAGGUCAGUCAGCGGUGAAAAGCUGUCGCUUAACGAUAGUCUUGCCGCAGAUACGUCAUUUCUUGGAUGAGGAGGAGGCCACUGGAACGGAUGGUGUAGCGGUGAAAUGCAUAGAUAUCAUCCAGAACACCGAUUGCGAAGGCAGGUGGCUGUACCUUAAUCGACGCUGAUGCACGAAAGCAUGGGGAGCAAACAGGAUUAGAAACCCCAGUAGUCC